CACAUAUAUACAUUCAUACAUAUACUUACAAAUAUAUAUGCACACAUUUACACACACACAUAUAUAUGGGGAAUUGCAGGCACACCCAGAACAUACAUUUCUAAGUAGUGGUGCUGCUGUAAAGACCAACAUAUAUACAAAAUACAGAUGGUACAAAAAAAUACAGUUUUAAUUUUAAGGUUUAAGGUUUAAGGUUACUUAAAAUGCUAAACAGAUAUCAAAAACUCUACUCAAUUUAUGCUUUUCUGUUGUCAUCUCCAAAGGGGUACCUAUAGUUAAUGGUUGGAAAAAGCAUAAAUUGAUGUCUGGAUGCAGUUUAAGUAGUAAGUAUUGCAGUUAGCAUGUAAAUCUCCUAUUUAGGACUCACAUAUUGGGAACCUGUGCUGUAGUGGUGGGCUUAAUACAAUAGGGCCAUAUGGUGUAAAUUAAUCCCUAUGCUGAGAUAGGUGAUUUUAAAUUUGGAAAAUAUAAACUGUAUUUUUUUUGUGUGCGCUGUUCCCUACAUACAUACAUUAUAUAUAUACACACACACAAUUAUAUAUACACUUUACGGAUUGUGAAUAUGAAUAUAUGAGUGUACUGGCCUGUUGAUAAAAAUAACAGAUGUGCAGCAAGAGGAACCUGGCCAAUAUGUAUGUAGACACAAUAUAUACAGAGCAAAUAUAUCAUGAGUAUAAUUAAAUAGCACAAUACAACACAACACAAAAACAAAGAUAAACAGUGUAUAGGGCUUUUGUAUUGAUAUGUGAAAU
Non-coding RNA from Pelobates cultripes (western spadefoot toad), 752 nucleotides. The record is from the annotation of a GenBank genome assembly. NCBI's taxonomy places the organism in Eukaryota, Metazoa, Chordata, Amphibia, Anura, Pelobatidae.